GACGAACGCUGGCGGCGUGCUUAACACAUGCAAGUCGAGCGGUAAGGCCCUUUCGGGGGUACACGAGCGGCGAACGGGUGAGUAACACGUGGGUGACCUGCCCUCAGCUCUGGGAUAAGCCUGGGAAACCGGGUCUAAUACCGGAUAUGACUCCAUGACGCAUGUUGUGGGGUGGAAAGCCUUGUGCGGCUGAGGAUGGGCCCGCGGCCUAUCAGCUUGUUGGUGGGGUAAUUGCCACCAAGGCGACGACGGGUAGCCGGCCUGAGAGGGCGACCGGCCACACUGGGACUGAGACACGGCCCAGACUCCUACGGGAGGCAGCAGUGGGGAAUUUUGGACAAUGGGGGCAACCCUGAUCCAGCCAUUCCGCGUGAGUGAAGAAGGCC
RNAcentral lists this ribosomal RNA (386 nucleotides) under uncultured bacterium. RNAcentral describes it as "bacterial SSU rRNA". It matches the Rfam family "Bacterial small subunit ribosomal RNA", at positions 28 to 416 of the family's 1533-position model. The record is from RNAcentral.